Molecule: non-coding RNA, 1135 nt
Organism: Arachis ipaensis
Lineage: Eukaryota; Viridiplantae; Streptophyta; Magnoliopsida; Fabales; Fabaceae
Source: RefSeq, a predicted model, not a curated record
CAGAGAAUGUAGCGUCGUUAAUGAGUUGAGGAUCCAUAACAAGUCAAAUUUAGGAGUGUGGUACGUUGUUUUCUCUUUUCUUUUCUUUUGUUAAUGGGAUUGUUGUAGUUUAGAGGAAUAAACGGGGAUCCGAGUGAGUGUGUGUGGGAGCUUUGGGUUAUUUAAUUAUGAUUUGUGAUUAGGAGAGUGAGUGAAUGAGUGAGUGAGCGAGCGAGCGAGUUCUGAGUAGAGAGGAAACUGGAGUUUUUUUUUUUUGGACAUGGCCUAAGGCCAAAAGAAACGACUCGGCUCACACAAUCAGAACUUAACCCGACCCGAAAAACUACCCACACAGAGACCCACCCCCAAACCGACCCCAAUCCUGUCUUCUUCUCCUUCACCUUCGACCAGAGAUCUUUCAAAGCUUGAGCCUAUUGCUGCAUGUGGAUGAAACAAGCUCCCAGACCUUCAUCAGUGGCUUCAAUCGGAUUCUGCAGGUGCUGAUUUCUCAAGGUCAUCGAAGUUGCGCCUCCUCUUCUUUAAGAAGGUUGCUCCUCGUCUUCAAUGGUGGCCAUUUGUGCUUCGCGUGGCUUGUUGCUUCCUCGCUCCAAAGCGCAAGUGGUUCUGUUCUCCCUGGGGUGCUUUACCCAUUUCUCUAAGGAAAGUCCUACUCCUGCCCUGUGGUAACUCCUGUCGUCCCCUCCCAUGGCACCUCCCAAGUUGCAUUGGUGCUGCCAGCGACUUCUACCAAUGGCCCAUCCCCUUGUCUCUGUUGGUUCAUUGUAGCUCCCAGUUUUCGACCCAAGCAUUUGAAAUGCUCGAGUCUGAUCAUCCACUCCAGCUUCUUCACUCUUCCCUGGUUCAACACCCACCCUCCCAGGUGGAUUGAUGAUCCACUGCCUCUGUAAUCCAUUCCCCGCUGCCGUUGCUGCCAGUUGGUGAGCUAAGUUGUUUCCGUCUCUUGGAGUCUAGGUAACUUCUACAUCUGGAGCCUCUUUCAGCAGAUAGAGAAUGUCUCUGAUGAUUGCGUCUGUCUCUGCCAAAGAAGUUUUUGCCUUAAUUACUUGAACCAGAGUCCCUGGCUACCACUGCUGAAGCUGCCAUGCAUGUUUUCCUGUGAAAAGCCGCAUCAGUGUUCACCUUUAACCAAUCCUUG